AAAGAGAUCGAAGAAGAAGAGCGUUUGGGAGAAAGAAGAAGAAAGAAAGAUAA
This 53-nucleotide small RNA is filed under the name Arabidopsis thaliana (thale cress). RNAcentral's name for it is "ATSL304970". The record is from RNAcentral. Lineage: Eukaryota; Viridiplantae; Streptophyta; Magnoliopsida; Brassicales; Brassicaceae.